RNAcentral lists this ribosomal RNA (557 nucleotides) under uncultured bacterium. RNAcentral describes it as "bacterial SSU rRNA". It matches the Rfam family "Bacterial small subunit ribosomal RNA", at positions 102 to 694 of the family's 1533-position model. The record is from RNAcentral.
ACGGAUGAGUAACGCGUGGGAACCUACCCAGAACUUCGGAAUAACACAUGGAAACGUGUGCUAAUACCGGAUACGCCCUACGGGGGAAAGAUUUAUCGGUUUUGGAUGGGCCCGCGUAAGAUUAGCUAGUCGGUGAGGUAAUGGCUCACCAAGGCGACGAUCUUUAGCUGGUCUGAGAGGAUGAUCAGCCACACUGGGACUGAGACACGGCCCAGACUCCUACGGGAGGCAGCAGUGGGGAAUAUUGGACAAUGGGCGCAAGCCUGAUCCAGCCAUGCCGCGUGAGUGAUGAAGGCCUUAGGGUUGUAAAGCUCUUUCAGUAGGGAAGAUAAUGACGGUACCUACAGAAGAAGCCCCGGCUAACUUCGUGCCAGCAGCCGCGGUAAUACGAAGGGGGCUAGCGUUGUUCGGAUUUACUGGGCGUAAAGCGCACGUAGGCGGAUCGUUAAGUUAGGGGUGAAAUCCUGGAGCUCAACUCCAGAACUGCCUCUAAUACUGGCGAUCUAGAGUCCGGAAGAGGUGAGUGGAACUCCUAGUGUAGAGGUGGAAUUCGUAGA